AGAGUUUGAUCCUGGCUCAGGAUGAACGCUAGCGGCAGGCUUAACACAUGCAAGUCGAGGGGCAGCAGGCCGGUUCUUCGGAACUGGUGCUGGCGACCGGCGCACGGGUGCGUAACGCGUAUGCAACCUACCUUGUACAGGAGGAUAGCCCGGAGAAAUCCGGAUUAAUACUCCAUAGUAUCACAAUUUUGCAUGAGAUUGUGAUUAAAGCUACGGCGGUACAAGAUGGGCAUGCGUGUCAUUAGCUAGUUGGUGAGGUAACGGCUCACCAAGGCCAUGGUGACUAGGGGUCCUGAGAGGGAGGUCCCCCACACUGGAACUGAGACACGGUCCAGACUCCUACGGGAGGCAGCAGUGAGGAAUAUUGGACAAUGGGCGCAAGCCUGAUCCAGCCAUGCCGCGUGCAGGAAGACGGCCUUAUGGGUUGUAAACUGCUUUUGCAAGGGAAGAAUGACCGCUUCGAGUAAGCGGGAGUGACGGUACCUUGCGAAUAAGCACCGGCUAACUCCGUGCCAGCAGCCGCGGUAAUACGGAGGGUGCAAGCGUUAUCCGGAAUUAUUGNGUUUAAAGGGUCCGUAGGCGGCUAGAUAAGUCAGUGGUGAAAUACUCUCGCUCAACGAGAGGGGUGCCAUUGAUACUGUUUGGCUAGAGUUACAGUGAGGUG
RNAcentral lists this ribosomal RNA (664 nucleotides) under uncultured bacterium. Its description in RNAcentral is "bacterial SSU rRNA". It matches the Rfam family "Bacterial small subunit ribosomal RNA", at positions 8 to 659 of the family's 1533-position model. The record is from RNAcentral.